This 254-nucleotide ribosomal RNA is filed under the name uncultured bacterium. RNAcentral describes it as "partial 16S ribosomal RNA". It matches the Rfam family "Bacterial small subunit ribosomal RNA", at positions 524 to 776 of the family's 1533-position model. The record is from RNAcentral.
UACAGAGGUCUCAAGCGUUGUUCGGAUUUACUAGGCGUAAAGGGCGCGUAGGCGGCCACCGCAAGUCGGUUGUGAAAUCUCUGGGCUUAACCCAGAAAGGUCAACCGAUACUGCGGGGCUAGAGUGCAGAAGGGGCAACUGGAAUUCUCGGUGUAGCGGUGAAAUGCGUAGAUAUCGAGAGGAACACCUGCGGCGAAGGCGGGUUGCUGGGCUGACACUGACGCUGAAGCGCGAAAGCUAGGGGAGCGAACGGG